GAGCAAUCCUGGCGGCGAGUGGCGAACGGGUGAGUAAUACAUCGGAACAUGUCCAGUAGUGGGGGAUAGCGGCGAAAGCCGGAUUAAUACCGCAUACGAUCUAUGGAUGAAAGCGGGGGAUCGCAAGACCUCGCGCUAUUGGGGUGGAGAUGGCGGAUUAGCUAGUUGGUGGGGUAAAGGCCCACCAAGGCGACGAUCCGUAGCUGGUCUGAGAGGACGACCAGCCACACUGGGACUGAGACACGGCCCAGACUCCUACGGGAGGCAGCAGUGGGGAAUUUUGGACAAUGGGCGCAAGCCUGAUCCAGCAAUGCCGCGUGUGUGAAGAAGGCCUUCGGGUUGUAAAGCACUUUUGUCCGGAAAGAAAUCCUGAUGGCUAAUAUCCGUCGGGGAUGACGGUACCGGAGAAUUUAGCACCGGCUAACUACGUGCCAGCAGCCGCGGUAAUACGUAGGGUGCGAGCGUUUAUCGGAAUUACUGGGCGUAAAGCGUGCGCAGGCGGUGAUGUAAGACCGAUGUGAAAUCCCCGGGCUUAACCUGGGAACUGCAUUGGUGACUGCAUCGCUGGAGUAUGGCAGAGGGGGGUAGAAUUCCACGUGUAGCAGUGAAAUGCGUAGAGAUGUGGAGGAAUACCGAUGGCGAAGGCAGCCCCCUGGGCCAAUACUGACGCUCAUGCACGAAAGCGUGGGGAGCAACAGGAUUAGAUACCCUGGUAGUCCACGCCCUAAACGAUGUCAACUGGUUGUCGGGCCUUCAUUGGCUUGGUAAACGUAGCUAACGCGUGAAGUUGACCGCCUGGGGGAGUACGGUCGCCAGAUUAAAAACUCAAAGGAAAUUGACGGGGACCGCCACCAAGCGGUGGAUGAUGUGAAUUCACUUCCGACGCACGCGAAAACGUACCUUACCUUUGAACAUGUACCGAGUCCGACAGAUAGGUGAUGUUCCGCAAGGGACCGUAACACAGUGACUGCAUGCAUGUCGUCAACUCGUGGUACGUGA
RNAcentral lists this ribosomal RNA (999 nucleotides) under Paraburkholderia mimosarum. RNAcentral's name for it is "bacterial SSU rRNA". It matches the Rfam family "Bacterial small subunit ribosomal RNA", at positions 77 to 1070 of the family's 1533-position model. Lineage: Bacteria; Pseudomonadati; Pseudomonadota; Betaproteobacteria; Burkholderiales; Burkholderiaceae. The record is from RNAcentral.